CUCUGAAAAGGAUUGAACACCAUCCUGGGAGUUUCAAAAUCCCUGUGGGAGAAUCAAGGUCCAGCUGGAUGGUUUAAAUGAGAGCAAAAUGAAAGCUAAGUUUUCCUGCACACUUUUCAUUUCUAGCUGGCUAAGUGUUUAAUUGUUUGUAAUGAUUGUUUAGGUCAUGUAGUUGCAUGUGUAAUAGUCUUAACUUCUUUGGGGUUCUGUCUUGGUUGUUUGUUGGUUUAUCCACAAGCUCAUAUAAAAAUAGGUUCAAUUAUCAUAUGACUGUUUGUCACCUAUCUGAAAGCCUUUCUUGUGUAAUACUGAUAUCUUGCUAAGUAUUGGCCCUCUGAUUUUAGAAAGCAAUUUUGUUGAGUCUUCAGUAAUAUGAUUUAAAGGCUCAGUUGACUUCCUUCUGCUGAUUUUCUUUAAUUUCUGGUGUGCUUAGUUGACUCAUGUUCCUAAGGUUUUUAUUCAUCAGCUGAUUGUUCAUUUUUGCUUCUUGUUCUUAAGUAUUUCUGAAUAUCAUUCAUUGAAUCAUGUUUGAAGCUAAGUUUGAUAUAUAUAUAUAUAUAUAUAUGCAUUCUUUCUGGAUAUUUGAUUCCUUGUUCUGUUAAUCCUGUAUAGAAGUCUGUUAAUUUUUGGUUAAUUCUGAUUUUCACGAGUCUGCUAAUCUAAAUUUGACCCAUGUUUGGUCGACCAAGGUUGAUUGUGUUCGAAUUGGAGUCAAAGAACUAACCAAGGUUAAUUAGAGCUGAACCAAGGUUAAAAGAACUAACUGGGGUCAAAUUCAGGGGUAGGGCAAUUUAGGAAAUCUAGUAAGGGUACAAAAGGAAUUGGAGUCUUUUAACAUCUAAUAACAGUAUUUUAGAACCUUCUAGUAGGGACUAAUAUAUAACUCCAGCCUCAAACUUGAGGCACAAGUUAAGAAUUGAAGGACUACUUAGGCAAAAAUACAAUUUGAGAUGAGGACUAAAAAGAAACUAGUAAAAAUCGGAUGCCCUAACUGUUUUGCUAUAAUUUAAACCAUUUGGGGGCAUUGAAAAGGAUCCAGAAACCUUUAUCUUUAACACUAGAGCUGGAAAUUUCCAUCGGAGCUUUCCAGCUCUGCUGAAAUCUGGAAAUAUUGUUUUAUUGGCUGUUGGUUGCUUAGGUGAUCCUUUCUAUUUACUCAUAGGUUGUUUCAUUUGCUGCAUUACAGGUACCCUUUAAAGCUCAUGUAUAUGUGAAGUUCAAAGUAAAAUAUACUUUCAAAUGUGAAGAACCCAUUGUCAUUUACAUUCUCUUGUUAUUCUUAUUUCCCCCAUUUCCCUAUUUAAUCCUGAAUGAGUUUAGUAAUAGAAUGAUCCUCAUGUUGUAGUUAACGUUAGCAUGAUCUAUUUUGUAAUAACUGGAUAUUUUGGGACUGUUUUUUAUGUGUAAUAAUGGGGCUUUCAGUUCAAAUUUUGUAUAUGCUUGGGUAGUAGUCAAUUUCAAUUUCAGUCUUGUGGGCUCAAGUGCUGAAUUUGUGCACUUAGAGCUACCAGACCUGGAAAGUAGUAUAGUCCAUAGUUUUAAAUCUCAUAAUGUUUAAUAAUAACUUAUUUUAGAUUUUGUUUCAUAUAGUAGGACCUGAAAAAAUGUAAUUGAAUUUUGGAAAAUAGAUUCAUAUACUCUAACUGAUGAGUAUAUGAAUCGUAUGAUUCAAAUUUGAUGUUGGAAAGGUAGUACAAAUAUAGUUGUUAUUAUUUCCUUCAUGAAUGGGUAAAGAAUCAAUUCUAUGUACAUGAUUUCAGACGAAACUGUUGUCAGGCAUUGGACUCUUUGGUUCAAAUCAGUACCGGGCUCAUAUGUAUGGCACAGUAGGCAUCUAAAUGCUGAAAUCUGAUACGUUUCCUAGGCUAGGUGAUUAACAGCUCAAACCGGUCAAAAAUGGUUAAAAAUUGCAGCCUGAGCAACAAGUGCUCCAGGGCUGUCCCAAAGUUUGAUUUAUUUAUAUGUCCAUUGGCCAUGAACGAGGCUAAGGCACAAAUAAUGUUUCCCAAGCACCAAGUUUAUACAUAAAACAAUUAGCGCAUUUAAACACUCGCAAGAGUCAAAAUUUAGCAUAUGUUAGAAUGCCUUUAUAAAAAUAAAAACGAGCCAUGUUAAUUCAAACAGAUACAUAUGAUGGUUCCUUACCCUAUCAAGACCCAUAGAAAAGGAAGUGUCGUUUAGCAAAUUUCACGGCCUUCCUGCGAAUGUCAAAGACGCAGUUGGUAUAGGCGCGCAUUCUAAAAAAAUACUUUCCUAAAUAUGGGAGAACAUUUAUGUGACCUAAUGUCAAAGACGUAGUUGUUAUAGGCGCACAUUCUAAAAACAUACCUUCCUAAAUUUGGGUGCGCAUUUAUGUGAUCCAAAUCCAAAUCUCAACGAAGAUGGAAUGUGUCAAAUCCAUGGGUGCAUUUAUGUGACGUGGUUUGAGGCGUGUUCUAACGACGUUGCAAUUCUAUUGAAAAUAAUGAUAAAAGCGAUUUAAGGUUAGAAAGCACAUAAGUUAAACAAGUUCUAAAAUCAGAUAAUUUAAGCCAAAUAUGACAGUUGAGUGACCGUGCUAGAACCACGGAACC
This 2573-nucleotide long non-coding RNA is filed under the name Nicotiana benthamiana. Its description in RNAcentral is "long non-coding RNA (NBEN_LNC015192)". Lineage: Eukaryota; Viridiplantae; Streptophyta; Magnoliopsida; Solanales; Solanaceae. The record is from RNAcentral.